RNAcentral lists this ribosomal RNA (235 nucleotides) under uncultured bacterium. RNAcentral's name for it is "partial 16S ribosomal RNA". It matches the Rfam family "Bacterial small subunit ribosomal RNA", at positions 118 to 351 of the family's 1533-position model. The record is from RNAcentral.
UGAGUAACCUGCCCUUAACUCUGGGAUAAGCCUGGGAAACUGGGUCUAAUACCGGAUAUGACUCCUCAUCGCAUGGUGGGGGGUGGAAAGCCUUUUUGUGGUUUUGGAUGGACUCGCGGCCUAUCAGCUUGUUGGUGAGGUAAUGGCUCACCAAGGCGACGACGGGUAGCCGGCCUGAGAGGGUGACCGGCCACACUGGGACUGAGACACGGCCCAGACUCCGUACGGGAGGCAG